UAACGCGAAGAACCUUACCUGGGCUUGACAUGGACUAGAAAGCUCUAGAGAUAGAGCCUCCCUUGUGGCUGGUUCACAGGUGGUGCAUGGCUGUCGUCAGCUCGUGUCGUGAGAUGUUGGGUUAAGUCCCGCAACGAGCGCAACCCUCGUUCCAUGUUGCCAGCGCGUUAUGGCGGGGACUCAUGGGAGACUGCCGGGGUCAACUCGGAGGAAGGUGGGGAUGACGUCAAGUCAUCAUGCCCCUUAUGUCCAGGGCUUCACACAUGCUACAAUGGCCGGUACAAAGGGCUGCUAAGCCGUGAGGUGGAGCGAAUCCCAAAAAGCCGGUCUCAGUUCGGAUUGGGGUCUGCAACUCGACCCCAUGAAGUCGGAGUCGCUAGUAAUCGCAGAUCAGCAACGCUGCGGUGAAUACGUUCCCGGGCCUUGUACACACCGA
Molecule: ribosomal RNA, 436 nt
Filed under: uncultured Actinomyces sp.
Lineage: Bacteria; Bacillati; Actinomycetota; Actinomycetes; Actinomycetales; Actinomycetaceae
Description: bacterial SSU rRNA
Rfam family: Bacterial small subunit ribosomal RNA
Source: RNAcentral